GUAGUUCAAAACUGCGGCGGCUGGGGGCUGGCCGCGUCUUCAGCGCGACCCUGGAGCUGGGGAGAUGAGGUCUCACUAUAUUGCCCUGGUUGGUCUCAAACUCCUGGCUUCAAGCAGUCCUCCUGUUUUGGCCUCCCAAAGUGCUGGGAUUACAAAGGCUGGAAUGCAAUGGCACGAUCUCGGCUCACGGCAACCUCCGCCUCCCAAGCUCAAGUGAUUCUCCUGCCUCAGCCUCCCGAGUAGCUGGGAUUACAGGCAUGCGCCACCAUGCCCAGCUAAUUUUGUAUUUUUAGUAGAGAUGGGGUUUCUCCAUGUUAGUCAGGCUGUUCUCAAACUCCCGACCUCAGGUGAUCCACCCGUCUCGGCCUCCCAAAGUGCUGGGAUUACAGGCGUGAGCCACCACGCCCAGCCUCUUUUUGUUUUUAUUUUUUUCUUUUUAAUUUCUUAACAGUGCAGGGUUUGGUAUUUACCCGCUAUGCUCACACCUCUCUCCUGGCUUUGGGACACUGAGAAGAAGUGAUGCUGGGCCUGCUGGAGCCAUCUUGCAUCUGCG
Molecule: long non-coding RNA, 553 nt
Organism: Gorilla gorilla gorilla (western lowland gorilla)
Lineage: Eukaryota; Metazoa; Chordata; Mammalia; Primates; Hominidae
Exons: 4
Source: RefSeq, a predicted model, not a curated record